GAGCAAGUCGAUGAGGAGGCCCAGGAAGCACGCUGAAACGCUGGGCGGCGGCAAGCUGGGCGACGUUUUCUGCGGCCGGCCUGGGCAGGUGUCUUCCUCGAGAGGCCGGCAGGGGAUCCCGGACGAUGCUGUGUUCUUGGCUCUUUUGUGAAUGUCUGUUGCUGGUAGCUGGUUAUGCUCAUGAUGAUGACUGGAUAGACCCCACAGACAUGCUUAACUAUGAUGCUGCUUCAGGAACAAUGAGAAAAUCGCAGGCAAAAUAUGGUGUUUCAGGGGAAAAGGAUGUCAGUCCUGACUUGUCAUAUGCUGAUGAAAUAUCAGAAUGUUAUCACAAACUUGAUUCUUUAACUUAUAAGAUUGAUGAGUGCGAAAAGAAAAAGAGGGAAGACUAUGAAAGUCAAAGCAAUCCUGUUUUUAGGAGAUACUUAAAUAAGAUUUUAAUUGAAGCUGGAAAGCUUGGACUUCCUGAUGAAAACAAAGGCGAUAUGCAUUAUGAUGCCGAGAUUAUCCUUAAAAGAGAAACGUUGUUAGAAAUACAGAAGUUUCUCAGUGGAGAAGACUGGAAACCAGGUGCCUUGGAUGAUGCACUAAGUGAUAUUUUAAUUAAUUUUAAGUUUCAUGAUUUUGAAACAUGGAAGUGGCGAUUUGAAGAUUCCUUUGGAGUGGAUCCAUAUAAUGUGUUAAUGGUACUUCUUUGUCUGCUCUGCAUCGUGGUUUUAGUGGCUACCGAGCUGUGGACAUACGUACGCUGGUACACUCAGUUGAGACGUGUUUUAAUCAUCAGCUUUCUGUUCAGUCUAGGAUGGAAUUGGAUGUAUUUAUAUAAGCUAGCUUUUGCACAGCAUCAGGCUGAAGUCGCCAAGAUGGAGCCAUUAAACAAUGUGUGUGCUGAGAAGAUGGACUGGACUGGAAGUAUCUGGGAAUGGUUUAGAAGUUCAUGGACCUAUAAGGAUGACCCAUGCCAAAAAUACUAUGAGCUCUUACUAGUCAACCCUAUUUGGUUGGUCCCACCAACAAAGGCACUUGCAGUUACAUUCACCACAUUUGUAACGGAGCCAUUGAAGCACAUUGGAAAAGGAACUGGGGAAUUCAUUAAAGCACUCAUGAAGGAAAUUCCAGCGCUGCUUCAUCUUCCAGUGCUGAUAAUUAUGGCAUUAGCCAUCCUGAGUUUCUGCUAUGGUGCUGGCAAAUCAGUUCAUGUGCUGAGACAUAUAGGCGGUCCUGAGAGAGAACCUCCCCAGGCACUUUGGCCACGGGAUAGAAGACGGCAGGAGGAAAUUGAUUAUAGACCUGAUGGUGGGGCAGGUGAUGCAGAGUUCUAUUAUAGGGGCCAGACUGGCCCCAUUGAGCAAGGCCCUUAUGCUAAAACGUAUGAGGGUAGAAGAGAGACUUUGAGAGAGAGAGACGUUGACUUGAGAUUUCAGACUGGCAACAAGAGCCCUGAAGUGCUCCGGGCAUUUGAUGUACCAGACGCAGAGGCACGAGAGCAUCCCACGGUGGUACCCGGUCAGAAAUCACCUGUUUUGGAUACGAAGCCCAAGGAGAUAGGUGGAAUCCUGGGGGAAGGCACACUGAAAGAAAGCAGUACUGAAAGCAGCCAGUCUGCCAAGCCUGUCUCUGGCCAAGACACAUCAGGGAAUACAGAAGGUUCACCUGCAGCGGAAAAGGCCCAGCUCAAGUCUGAAGCUGUGGGCAGCCCAGACCAAGGCAACACAUACAGCCCCACAAGUGGUGUGGCUGGACCACGUGGGCAGGAUCCGGUCAGCAGUCCCUGUGGCUAGAGGAACACCAGCACAAACGACAGCCUCAAGUCUCCUUCGAGCUCUGUAAAAUAUCCAUUUGGGGAUGGAAUCUACUUUGACAGCUAGCAAGGCAACGUGCAACUGCUGUUGAAUGAUGACAGCAAUCCAGGAAAGACUUAAAUAUGAAAGCAAAUUGAACACAUCAGGGCCAGUUUAUUAUCAGAAAAGAGAUAAGGCUUAUUGAUGAGCCAAUAUGUCAUUAAAAUUAAGGUUUAUAGUGUGAAGCUUUUUUAAAGUUUAAUUUUACUUUGAGAGUUUUGCUCUGUCGCCCAGGCUGGAGUGCGGUGGCGCAAUCUUGGGUCACUGCAACCUCCACCUCCUGGGUUCAAGCGAGCGAUUCUCCUGCCUCAGCCUCCCAAGUAGCUGGGAUUACAGGUGUGCAUCACCACACCCGGCUAAUUUUUGUAUUUUUAGUAGAGACGGAGUUUCGUCAGGCUGGUCUUGAACUCCUGACCUCAAGUGAUCUGCCCUUGUCGGCCUCCCACAGUGUUGGGAUUACAGGUGUGAGCCAUCGUGCCCAGCCUAUAUAGUGUGAAGCUUUUAGGAAAAUCAGAACAGGGUAGAUAGACAGCUAUUAAAAACAAUGUUUAAACGGAAUAAUGUUGAAUGUUUACAGGCUGUAAGAACUAGUGUAUACACAAAAUAAACUUUUUACAUUGUGGUUUGGUA
RNA transcript from Rhinopithecus roxellana (golden snub-nosed monkey), 2471 nucleotides. It is a transcript of the gene named chloride channel CLIC like 1, with no coding region annotated. The record is from RefSeq and is a predicted model, not a curated record. Lineage: Eukaryota; Metazoa; Chordata; Mammalia; Primates; Cercopithecidae. The transcript has 12 exons.